RNAcentral lists this ribosomal RNA (253 nucleotides) under uncultured bacterium. Its description in RNAcentral is "partial 16S ribosomal RNA". It matches the Rfam family "Bacterial small subunit ribosomal RNA", at positions 524 to 776 of the family's 1533-position model. The record is from RNAcentral.
UACGGAGGGUGCAAGCGUUGUUCGGAUUUAUUGGGCGUAAAGCGCGUGUAGGCGGUUUCUUAAGUCUGAUGUGAAAGCCCUGGGCUCAACCCAGGAAGUGCAUUGGAUACUGGGAGACUUGAAUACGGGAGAGGGUAGUGGAAUUCCUAGUGUAGGAGUGAAAUCCGUAGAUAUUAGGAGGAACACCGGUGGCGAAGGCGGCUACCUGGACCGAUAUUGACGCUGAGACGCGAAAGCGUGGAGAGCAAACAGG